RNAcentral lists this ribosomal RNA (506 nucleotides) under uncultured bacterium. Its description in RNAcentral is "partial 16S ribosomal RNA". It matches the Rfam family "Bacterial small subunit ribosomal RNA", at positions 30 to 523 of the family's 1533-position model. The record is from RNAcentral.
AUUGAACGCUGGCGGCAUGCCUUACACAUGCAAGUCGAACGGCAGCAUGGAAGAGCUUGCUCUUCUGAUGGCGAGUGGCGAACGGGUGAGUAAAGCAUCGGAACGUACCGUGUAGUGGGGGAUAACGUAGCGAAAGUUACGCUAAUACCGCAUACGCACUGAGGUGGAAAGCAGGGGAUCGCAAGACCUUGCGCUAUACGAGCGGCCGAUGUCAGAUUAGCUAGUUGGUAGGGUAAAGGCCUACCAAGGCGACGAUCUGUAGCGGGUCUGAGAGGAUGAUCCGCCACACUGGGACUGAGACACGGCCCAGACUCCUACGGGAGGCAGCAGUGGGGAAUUUUGGACAAUGGGGGAAACCCUGAUCCAGCCAUGCCGCGUGAGUGAAGAAGGCCUUCGGGUUGUAAAGCUCUUUCGGCUGGGAAGAAAUCGCACAGGCUAAUACUCUGUGUGGAUGACGGUACCAGCACGAGGAGCACCGGCUAACUACGUGCCAGCCGCCGCCGUAA